This 287-nucleotide ribosomal RNA is filed under the name uncultured archaeon. RNAcentral describes it as "partial 16S ribosomal RNA". It matches the Rfam family "Archaeal small subunit ribosomal RNA", at positions 339 to 631 of the family's 1478-position model. The record is from RNAcentral.
GCGCGAAAAUUUUCAAUGCGGGAAACCGUGACAAGGGAACCCCGAGUGCCCGUAAAAUCGGGCUGUUCCGGUGUACAAAAAGCACCGGGAGAAAGGGCCGGGCAAGACCGGUGCCAGCCGCCGCGGUAAUACCGGCGGCUCGAGUGGUGGCCACUAUUACUGGGCUUAAAGCGUUCGUAGCUGGAUUGUUAAGUCUCUUGGGAAAUCUACCGGCUUAACCGAUAGGCGUUCAAGGGAUACUGGCAAUCUAGGGACCGGGAGAGGUGAGAGGUACUCCAGGGGUAGGA